Long non-coding RNA from Homo sapiens (human), 366 nucleotides. The record is from Ensembl. NCBI's taxonomy places the organism in Eukaryota, Metazoa, Chordata, Mammalia, Primates, Hominidae.
UUGCUUUUGUGUUUUUUAAUAAAAAAUAUUUCAACUUUUCAUUUAGAAACAGUGGGUAAAUGUGCAAGUUUGUUACAAGGGUAUAUUGUGUGAUGCUGAGGUUUGAGGUACAGAUCCCAUCACCCAGGUAGUGAGCAUAGUACCCAAUAGGUAGUUUUUCAACCUAUCCUUCUGCCCUCCUCACCCACAGUGUUCCAGUCUGCAGUGUCUGUUGUUCCCACCUUUGCAUCCUGAGGUACUCAAUAUUUAGCUCCCAUUUGUUAGAACAUGCAGUACUUGGUUUUCUGUUCUUAAUUUGCUUAGAUUAUGGCUUCCAGCUGCAUCCAACUGGGAAAAGAAAUCAAACUAGCUCUCUUCGCUGAUAUG